GCUCUAGUAGCUCAGUGCC
This 19-nucleotide transfer RNA is filed under the name Trichopodus leerii (pearl gourami). RNAcentral's name for it is "partial tRNA-Thr". The record is from RNAcentral. Lineage: Eukaryota; Metazoa; Chordata; Actinopteri; Anabantiformes; Osphronemidae.